This 423-nucleotide ribosomal RNA is filed under the name uncultured bacterium. Its description in RNAcentral is "bacterial SSU rRNA". It matches the Rfam family "Bacterial small subunit ribosomal RNA", at positions 207 to 622 of the family's 1533-position model. The record is from RNAcentral.
CAAGACCUGCGCUUUUGGAGCGGCCGAUGCCUGAUUAGCUUGUUGGUAAGGUAAAAGCUUACCAAGGCUUCGAUCAGUAGCUGGUCUGAGAGGACGGCCAGCCACACUGGGACUGAGACACGGCCCAGACUCCUACGGGAGGCAGCAGUGGGGAAUUUUGGACAAUGGGGGCAACCCUGAUCCAGCCAUGCCGCGUGAGUGAAGAAGGCCUUCGGGUUGUAAAGCUCUUUCAGCCGGAACGAAACGGUUACGGUUAAUACCCGUGACUACUGACGGUACCGGAAGAAGAAGCACCGGCUAACUACGUGCCAGCAGCCGCGGUAAUACGUAGGGUGCGAGCGUUAAUCGGAAUUACUGGGCGUAAAGCGUGCGCAGGUGGUUUUGUAAGUCAGAUGUGAAAGCCCCGGGCUCAACCUGGGAACU